Molecule: ribosomal RNA, 253 nt
Filed under: uncultured bacterium
Lineage: Bacteria
Description: partial 16S ribosomal RNA
Rfam family: Bacterial small subunit ribosomal RNA
Source: RNAcentral
UACAGAGGUCUCAAGCGUUGUUCGGAAUCAUUGGGCGUAAAGGGCGCGUAGGUGGUUCUGUAUGUCUACCGUGAAAGCGUACGGCUCAACCGUAUUUUGUCGGUAGAAACUGCAGGACUUGAGGCUGGGAGGGGCUGGUGGAAUUCCCUGUGUAGCGGUGAAAUGCGUAGAGAUGGGGGAGAACACUCGUGGCGAAGGCGGCCAGCUAGACCAGUUCUGACACUGAGGCGCGACAGCGUGGGGAGCAAACAGG